UUAGUUGAGUUGAGUUGAGUAGUCUUCCUUGACUGCAUCACUGGUAGGCUAGAAAAAGUUCUCUUUACUAUCCAAUUCUAAUGAGAAAAAAUAAUGAUGGUGGUCCUUCUACUCUGAUUUGGGAAAAUGAAAACCAGAGUGAUUUAGUGAAUUGUUUGUGAAACAAGCCCAACUGAGGGCGGAUGGAAGUUUUGCUGAAUUAACUACUUUGUUGAGUCUGUUUUGUUUAUUUACUUGUCUUGCUCUAACCAAACUGUUUGAUAUCACAUUCUUUUUUCUUUAUCUCUUGAAGUUUGGAAAUGUAAUCUUUCUCCACUUUCUUAUAGGUCCUAGGAAGAUUAGCAUCUC
This 348-nucleotide unclassified non-coding RNA is filed under the name Hevea brasiliensis (rubber tree). Lineage: Eukaryota; Viridiplantae; Streptophyta; Magnoliopsida; Malpighiales; Euphorbiaceae. The record is from RNAcentral.